AUGGCAUUUGUGGAGGGUGAGAACUUUCUCAGCUGGGUAUGGUUCUUCCGGCAAGUGAAAAUUGCCAUUGUGAAGGACCGACCAAACGUGUGUGUCAUUCAUGACAGACAUGCUGGUAUAUUGAAGGCCGUGAAGACACUUCGUAAUCCAACAGAUGACGAACGAACACCUUGGAGGGACUUGCAGAGCCGGUGGUGCAUGCGCCAUCUUGGGGCUAAUUUUUUCUCACAGUUCAAGAACAAGCGGUUGAUGAACUUGUUCAAAAAAUUAUGCAAGCAGAGCCAGCAGCGCAAAUACGAAUUUAUUUGGUCAAAACUAGAUGAGUUUACUAAGAAGCAGGUCCGUGCGAGGAAGAAAAUGGAAGAAGAUCAAGUUAAAUUAGCAGCACUCAUCGCGGAGCUAGAGGAGCCAGUAGGUCUUUGUGACUUGCCAGGAAUUGACCCUCCUAAUACUACGAGAAAGAAGGGAAGGGCAAUAAAGAAUUUUUCUGAGUGGAUAGAGAAAGAGCCUCCAGUGAAUUGGUCUUUGCUGCAUGACACACAUGGAGCUAGGUAUGGCCACAUGACAACCAAUCUUGCAGAGGUGUAUAACUUUGUGCUGAGAGGGAACAGAGCAUUGCCACUCACAGCUAUUGUGGAGGCUGUAUUCCAUGGCACUUUGAGAUAUUUCAGAGAAAGGCACGAGUUAGUACAGAAGCAUAUUGAAGAUAAUCAGAACACACCUUAUUGUAGCCGUGUCAUGGAAUACAUGGCAAAGAAGAUAGAGAAAGCAAAGAAGCACACUGUCAGACUCAUAGGGAAUCAAGAAAGGAGGUAUGAGGUUCAGCUUCCUACCGAUGGUUUUGGUUCUGGAAAUGAGGUGAAGACACACGAGGUAAAAAUUGGAACGGAAUUUUAUCCAACGUGUGAGUGUACAUGCAACAAACCGAAGUUGUUGCACCUACCUUGCUCUCAUGUGUUGGCUGCCUGUGGGCAGAUUGAGUUGGAUGCUAUCUCCUUCGUGUCCCCAUACUAUUUAAAAGAGGCAGUGCUCAACACCUGGACAGGCGAGAUGACAGGGUUUAGAGUCGUCGGCAAUUUCAACAAGGUAAACGACGGUGAGAGAGUAUAUAUCCCGCAUCCAGACCUUCGGCGAACAAGUAGGGGCAGACGGAAGGCCCGACUGCUAGGGCCAUAG
This 1176-nucleotide ribosomal RNA is filed under the name Triticum aestivum (bread wheat). Its description in RNAcentral is "partial small subunit ribosomal RNA". Lineage: Eukaryota; Viridiplantae; Streptophyta; Magnoliopsida; Poales; Poaceae. The record is from RNAcentral.